Molecule: ribosomal RNA, 253 nt
Filed under: uncultured bacterium
Lineage: Bacteria
Description: partial 16S ribosomal RNA
Rfam family: Bacterial small subunit ribosomal RNA
Source: RNAcentral
GACGAACCGUGCGAACGUUGUUCGGAAUCACUGGGCUUAAAGGGCGCGUAGGCGGGGGUGCAAGUCUGUGGUGAAAGCCUCCAGCUUAACUGGAGAAGUGCCAUGGAUACUGCACAUCUUGAGGAGGGUAGGGGCAUCUGGAACGGUCGGUGGAGCGGUGAAAUGCGUUGAUAUCGACCGGAACUCCGGUGGCGAAGGCGGGAUCCUGGGCCAGUACUGACGCUGAGGAGCGAAAGCGUGGGGAGCAAACAGG